CAGAAUGUCAGUUCACCUUUGAGAAGGCUAUAGAGUACGUACCAUUCGAAGCUGCUAACUUGUGCCAAACCUCCACUGCUGCUACUACGCCUGUGACUCUUACUACUCCAUUCAAUAUAACGUCCUCUGUGGCCUCUGGGACUAUCACAAACCCAGUCACAGUGGCAGCUGCAAUGAGCAUGAGAAGUCCAGUAAAUGUAUCAAGUGCAGUUAAUAUAUCCAGUCCGAUGAACUUAGGGCAUCCUGUCACUAUAACCAGUCCACUGUCCAUGACAUCUCCACUCACGCUCACCACCCCGGUGAACCUGCCCACGCCGGUCACUGCUCCAGUGAACAUAGCUCACCCCGUCACCAUCACGUCCCCCAUGAACCUGCCCACGCCCAUGACCCUGGCUGGGCCCCUCAACAUAGCCAUGAGGCCGGUGGAGAGCAUGCCUUUCCUGCCCCAGGCCUUGCCCACCUCUCCUCCCUGGUAAUCCAGCUCGAAACAGUAUUAAAAAGGAUGAAAAUGGAAUCCUUACCAGCAGUUCUUUUUUUUUUUUUUUUUUUUUGUUUGGUUGGGUUUUUUUUUUUUUUUUUUUUUUUUUUUUUUCCGUUGGGUUUUUUCGUUUUGUUCUGUUUUUAGUCAAUAAUAAAUUCAGACUGAGACACUGGGGCAGCACCAUCAGAGACCACAGUAGCAUCUUCCCCUUUGAUUUGGCUCACAUGGUUCAGGCUUGAGUUUCACUGGAGCACAUCAUUUAAAGUAAGUUUUACCUUGUAGCUGACUGAUGCUGAAGUAGAGCAGAUACUUAUUUGCCAGAGUUU
Long non-coding RNA from Acanthisitta chloris (rifleman), 807 nucleotides. RefSeq lists it as uncharacterized. The record is from RefSeq and is a predicted model, not a curated record. NCBI's taxonomy places the organism in Eukaryota, Metazoa, Chordata, Aves, Passeriformes, Acanthisittidae. The transcript is spliced from 2 exons.